UUUUCUCUCAAAGACGGAAGAAAAAAGAAAAUAUCCGGAAACCCAAAGAAAUUUCAAUCUUUUGCUCGAGGUUAUCGAAAACUUGUUCUUUCGAGAUUUCGAAAUCCCUAUUAUUUCAACACUUGAAUCACACAAACACAGUCUUGAAAUCUCUAAUUUUCUCUUGCAGACAUUAAAAGGGUUCUUUGAUUUCUGAAGAUGGAAUUUGAGGAAGAGAUGGAAUAUCAAUAAAAUGGGGAGCAAGGCGAGCAUUCCAAUUCCGUAACUACUGGUGAUUUUUUUUUUUUUUGGUACUGUUAUAUUUAGAUGUAUUUUUAGGUAAUGUGUACAAAAUGCUUACGUUACUCUCUAAGCAGUUGUUGUCCUUCAAAAGAGAAAGGUGCGAGGUGAUACCACUUUUGCAUCUUUCAUUGGAAAGAACAUAGAGGAGCAAGAUAAGAAAAUAGUUAAUUAUACCUUUGAAGCACUUUUUAUUUUUAACAGUGCUUAA
Molecule: long non-coding RNA, 490 nt
Organism: Papaver somniferum (opium poppy)
Lineage: Eukaryota; Viridiplantae; Streptophyta; Magnoliopsida; Ranunculales; Papaveraceae
Exons: 3
Source: RefSeq, a predicted model, not a curated record